Molecule: unclassified non-coding RNA, 1756 nt
Filed under: uncultured fungus
Lineage: Eukaryota; Fungi
Description: sequence contains 18S rRNA gene, ITS1, 5.8S rRNA gene, ITS2, 28S rRNA gene
Rfam family: Eukaryotic large subunit ribosomal RNA (bases 653-1756)
Source: RNAcentral
GGAAGGAUCAUUAAAGUCAGGCUUUUGAGAGGGCUUGAUAUCGGACAUGUGAUGCUGCGGUUCCCCUGUGGUGGGGGUCCCGCAGCGGGGAAUAUUGCACCCCAAAGAUUUAGCCCGCCGCACGGUACGACUAUGCUUGGCGUUGCGGUAAGGGCGGUCUUUGAAGGCUGGGAAAAAUGACGAAAAUCGCGGCCCCUAAACUCAGCCCCGCGUAGUCGGCUUUGUGAGCAUAGUACAUGUCCUUAUCUACAACCGUCAACGAUGAAUGACUCGGCUAUCACGUCGAUGAAGAGCGUAGCGAAGUGCGAAAAUUAGUGCGAUCUGUAGCUGCGUGACGCAUCGAGUUCUUGAACGCAUUGUGCCUUGGGACGCGAGUCUCAAGGUGUGUCUGGUUGGGUGUCCGUACGAUAUAAACCCCCGCCGCAAUAGCGGUGCUUCAAUGGGGCAAAGUUAUGGAGUCGGCGGUAUCGCCGAACUUCAUUAAGGCUUAAGUAGCUGCACUCUUGUCAGUAGUCGUAUGCGCGCUGAAGCUGUAAAACGACGAAACUUGAGGGCGGCGAACGACCGCAGGAAAGGGGGGGUACAUCGGCUUCGCUGAGAGUCGGUGUGCCUUACCGAGUACUGAGAGUUAAUUCUCUAACAUCGAUGUAUCGGACCUCAGCUCAGGCAUGACCACCCGCUAAACUUAAGCAUAUUAGUAAGCGGAGGAAAAGAAACCAAAGGGGAUCCUCUUAGUAACUGCGAGUGAAGAGGGGAUAGUCCAGGCUGAAUCCAAUGUCCGUUAGGGCGGCGGAGUUGUGGCCUUUGAUCUGCGGAGGAAGCUGCGUAAGGAAGGCGAAGUUCCCUGGAAUGGGACGCUAUAGAGGGUGAGAGCCCCGUAGUCUUUCGAGUGCGGUGAACGACGCGGAUUUAGAGUCAGGCUGCUUGGGAACGUAGCCUAAAGUGCGAGGUGUGACCCUCGUAAGACUAAAUACCGGGUGAUAGACCGAUAGCAAACAAGUACCGCGAGGGAAAGUUGCAAAGCACUCUGAAGAGAGAGUCAAAAGUACCUGAAGUCGUUGACGGGGAAGCGGUUGAAUGAGCUAGAAAGGUGCCGUAGUUCACCUUUAGUGCGCUGGGGCAGUGCUGAUGGAGAGGCGUCUUCGGGCGUUCGAAGUCGGUACUUAAAAGGCGGCUAGGGGGCAUUCUAUGGUGCCUACUCGGCACAUACCUUCUUAUCUAGGGAAGAAGGUUCGGACGGUAGUUGCAUAAGCGGCGAUAUACGGACUUUGAUAUGGGUGAGAUAGUAGGAUAAAACCGGUGCCGCAAGGCUGGGGUAUGGGUUCGGUACGGUUGCAAAGCCGCUGAUGACAGCUUGCUGUUGUUGGUGAGCCUAGUGGCCUGCUGGGUCCUGCCACAACACCGGUUAGUGGCUGGGGUACGGCGAAUUUAGCUGUCCCGUCUUGAAACACGGACCAAGGAGUUUAACAUUUGUGCGAGUCUAAGAGUCGGCAAACUUCUAAGGCGAAGUGAAAGCGAAAAGGGCGAGGCGGAGUCUGUGGACGAAGCUGCAGCCUUCAUGUACCUUGAGCUACGGCAAAAGGUUUCAGUGGUAGCAUGUCUGUUAAGACCCGAAAGAUAGCGAACUAUACCCGCUUAGGAUGAAGCCAGGCGAAAGCCUGGUGGAGGUCCGUAGCGGUACUGACGUGCAAAUCGUUCGUCAAAAGUGGGCAUAGCGGCGAAAGACUAAUCGAGCUAUCUAGUAGCUGGUUCCACU